GUGGGGAAUCUUCCGCAAUGGACGAAAGUCUGACGGAGCGACGCCGCGUGAGUGAAGAAGGCCUUCGGGUCGUAAAGCUCUGUCAUCAGGGACGAACGGCCGGUGGAGUGGAAAGCCACCGGAUUGACGGUACCUGAGAAGGAAGCCACGGCUAACUACGUGCCAGCAGCCGCGGUAAUACGUAGGUGGCAAGCGUUGUCCGGAAUUAUUGGGCGUAAAGCGCGCGCAGGUGGGAUCUUAUGUCCAUUUUUAAAGUUCGGAGCUCAACUCCGUGAUGGGAUGGAAACUGGGAUUCUUGAGUACCGGAGAGGAAAGCGGAAUUCCCCGUGUAGCGGUGAAAUGCGUAGAUAUGGGGAGGAACACCAGUGGCGAAGGCGGCUUUCUGGACGGUGUCUGACACUGAGGCGCGAAAGCCAGGGGAGCGAACGGGAUUAGAUACCCUGGUAGUCC
This 450-nucleotide ribosomal RNA is filed under the name uncultured bacterium. RNAcentral describes it as "partial 16S ribosomal RNA". It matches the Rfam family "Bacterial small subunit ribosomal RNA", at positions 354 to 796 of the family's 1533-position model. The record is from RNAcentral.